UAUAUGUUGGUGAUGGAAUACUAUUGUGCUAAAAGGAAUAAUAAAGUGGAGGAGUUCCAUGGAGACUGGAACAACCUCCAGGAAGUGAUGCAGAGCUAGAGGAGCAGAACCAGGAGAACAUUGUACACAGAGACUAAUACACUGUGGUAUAAUCGAACGUAAUGGACUUCUCCAUUAGUGGUGGUGUAAUGUCCCUGAACAAUCUGCAGGGAUCUAGGAGAAAAAACACUAUUCAUAAGCAGAGGACAAACUGUGGGAGUGGAAACACGGAGGAAAAGCAACUGCCCAACUACAGCGGUUGAGGGGACACGACAGAGGAGAGACUCUAAAUGAACAGUCUAAUGCAAAUGCUAACAACCUGACAAUGGGUUAGAAUCAAGAACACGUGAUACCCAGUGGAAUCACGUGUCAGCUAUGGGGGGUGGGGGGGGAGGAAAAGAAAAUGAUCUUUGUCUUUAAUGAAUAAUGCUUGGAAAUUAUCAAAUAAAAUAUUAUUUUAAAAAAAACAAAUAAAAAAAAGAGAGUAUAUACAGGAUGACACUAAGGUUGAGGGCUAGAAUGAUUAGGAAGAUGGUAGUGCCCUUUACAAAAACAGCUGUUAGAAAGGCAAGAAGGUUUGAAGUGGGACAGAAAAUGAAUUCUAUUUUGAGCUCAAGAUGCCUAGGGGGCAUCCAGUUUGAGAGGUCCAAAAAAACAAUUGUCAGUGUUCCACUAUAGCUCAGGAAAGAGACUAGGGACCAACCUAGAGAUUUAGGAGUCAUCUGCAGAGAGAUUCUAACUGUAGUAAGAAUGGGAGCUGAAGAGGUAACCAAAUAAGAGCAUAUUGAAGAACCAGGGAAGAGGCAAUCAGAUGUAUCUUUUCACAGGGAGCACAUCUGUGGCUGUCUUUACUUAAGGAGGGAUGGCACCUAGCCCUAAGUGGGCUAGAAGUAUUCUUAGCACCUCAUUUCUGCAGAUUCAGCAAAUAAAAUUCACUUCAUUAUCUUUUCUUUUCUUCCUCACUCCCUCCUUUCCUUCCCUUUCUUCCUUCCCUUCCUUCCUUUCUUUUUCUCUCUUCCUUCCUUCCUUCCUUCCUUCCUUCCUUCCUUCCUUCCUUCCUUCCUUUCUUUCUUUCUUUCUUUCCUUCCUUCCUUCCUUUCUUUCUUUCUUUCUUUCUUUCUUUCUUUCUUUCUUUCUUUCUUUCUUUCUUUCUUUCUUUCUUUCUUUCUUUCUUUCUUUCUUUCUUUCUUUCUUUCUUUCUUUCUUUCUUUCUUUCUUUCUUUCUUUCUUUCUCUUUCUCCUUUCCUCCUUUCUCUCCUCCUCUCCUCUUUUCUUCUCCCUCUCUCUCCCUCCUUCCCCCUUCCCUCCUUCCUUCCUUCCUUCCCUUCUUUAUUCCUUCCUUCCCUUCCUUUUCCUUCCUUCCCUUCCUUUUCCUUCCUUCCUUCUUUCCUUCCUUCCUUCCUUCCUUUCUUUUUCUUUCUCUCCUUUUCUCCCUCUCUCCCUCUCUCCCUCUCUCUUUCUUUCUUUCUUUCUUUCUUUCUUUCUUUCUUUCUUUCUUUCUUUCUUUCUUUCUUUCUUUCUUUCUUUCUUUCUUUCUUUCUUUCUUUCUUUCUUUCUUUCUUUCUUUCUUUCUUUCUUUCUUUCUUUCUUUCUUUCUUUCUUUCUUUCUUCUGUCUUAGAAUUGAUACUAAGUAUUGAUUCCAAGGCAGAAGAGCUAGGCAAUUGGAGAAAA
Monodelphis domestica (gray short-tailed opossum) is the source of this 1711-nucleotide long non-coding RNA. NCBI's taxonomy places the organism in Eukaryota, Metazoa, Chordata, Mammalia, Didelphimorphia, Didelphidae. The record is from Ensembl.